This 1253-nucleotide unclassified non-coding RNA is filed under the name Hevea brasiliensis (rubber tree). Lineage: Eukaryota; Viridiplantae; Streptophyta; Magnoliopsida; Malpighiales; Euphorbiaceae. The record is from RNAcentral.
UUUUUUUUUCUAAUUUUAAUACAUGAACAUGAUAUUUCCAUAUCUGUAUCAAUUCAAUUUAGUUCUUUACCCACUCUACAGUUGUGAACCAGAUUUUCCUCCAUAAGAUUGUGACUCAUACAAUUAAAGAUCAUAUGGACAAUUCUCUACGCUCUAGUCUGAUUUAUUGGAGGAAUAUUGCAGAUCUCCAGAGGCAGAAACGCUAGGCAGUGUUCCACAAUCAUAGCUUGCAGCAUUAAAGACCUUAGAGAAGAGGAAUCCAUAGAAAAUUACAUCCCUUAAAAAUUUCAUCCACCACUGAGAACCAGCUUGCUGAACCCAACCUGACAAAUACGACCCAGUGAUGAGCCCAGCAACACGCCACCUCCUUUCUUUCACAUACCCAUCNNNNNNUGGCUCUGGCUACGUCCUCCUCAACAAGAACUUGUCUAUUCUUGAUAAAAGAAUUUCCUAUGUGCCUGCCCAAUACAAUUGCAUCCUCUAGAGCUGAACACCCACCUUGUCCUAGAUCAGGCGUCAUUGGGUGCAUAGCAUCACCUGCCACUGUGAUAUUUCCUUUGCUUGGAUUUCCAAAUAUGAGAUUCCAUGGAGUUCUCAACAUCAAUGGAGCCCAUGUCAAUGUUGAGAGAUCAGCAUGUCGGACUACGUCUAAGUAUUGUGAUGGAAAAUUCUUUGCAUACUUCUCAAUCACUUGUUUCUGUAUUAGUUCUGGGUCUCUUGCCAUGUUUUCUCCUUCAGGGCAAUAAGUUAAAAACCAGUAAAUUUCUUUGUGGUUUAAAGGGACGAAACCAGCCCUUUUGCCAACAUCCACAAAUUGCUCGACUUCUUGCUUCAUCCCAUGGCCUUGUGGAAAAAUUGCCAAUCCACGCACUGCUGCUCGACCUGAAUGAAUUGGAGCAGAGAGUCCUAGCCAUUUGGCCACCACAGAGUUCACCCCAUCACAACCGAUCAAAACCUUUGAUUUGAUAGUAGUUCCAUCUUCCAAAUGAAGUACACAAAUGGAAGAAUCUCCAAGUUCUUGCUUUUCAAUAGCCGUGAACUUUGAAGAAAAUCGAAUUGAAUCUUGAGGCAAUUCUUGUGCUAGAGCCUCUAAUAAAGCUUUGCGAUGAACUGAUCUGGGUCCCUGAUGAGCUUUGCUUCCGUUUCCAGAGAAGAAGAUUUCUUGAACAGCUCCAGUAGCUACUCUGGUUACAGACCCCCUUAUGGUAGGAGUAUAAAGGGGAGUAAGUUUAUGAGAAACGCCAAGAGCAUCA